Molecule: unclassified non-coding RNA, 179 nt
Filed under: uncultured fungus
Lineage: Eukaryota; Fungi
Description: sequence contains ITS1
Source: RNAcentral
GUAUUUUGAAUUGUUUUAUUCAUAAUAUUUUUCAGACAAAGAGUUAAAAGAUAGGUUGAUGUUUGGGGCUGUUUUUUUUAGGAACAGCCCUGACAUUGCACACAAGGUGGAUAUGGAUUUAAAAAAGUGCCAUAAAACACUUAUUAUGAAUGAUCCUUCCGCAGGUUCACCUACGGAAA